Molecule: ribosomal RNA, 497 nt
Filed under: uncultured bacterium
Lineage: Bacteria
Description: partial 16S ribosomal RNA
Rfam family: Bacterial small subunit ribosomal RNA
Source: RNAcentral
GAUGAACGCUGGCGGCGUGCCUAAUACAUGCGAGUCGAGCGAACAGACGAGGAGCUUUCUCCUCUGACGUUAGCGGCGGACGGGUGAGUAACACGUGGAUAACCUACCUAUAAGACUGGGAUAACUUCGGGAAACCGGAGCUAAUACCGGAUAAUAUAUUGAACCGCAUGGUUCAAUAGUGAAAGACGGUUUUGCUGUCACUUAUAGAUGGAUCCGCGCCGCAUUAGCUAGUUGGUAAGGUAACGGCUUACCAAGGCGACGAUGCGUAGCCGACCUGAGAGGGUGAUCGGCCACACUGGAACUGAGACACGGUCCAGACUCCUACGGGAGGCAGCAGUAGGGAAUCUUCCGCAAUGGGCGAAAGCCUGACGGAGCAACGCCGCGUGAGUGAUGAAGGUCUUCGGAUCGUAAAACUCUGUUAUUAGGGAAGAACAAAUGUGUAAGUAACUAUGCACGUCUUGACGGUACCUAAUCAGAAAGCCACGGCUAACUACGUG